Molecule: non-coding RNA, 95 nt
Filed under: Bacillus thermozeamaize
Lineage: Bacteria; Bacillati; Bacillota; Bacilli; Caryophanales; Bacillaceae
Description: Glycine sequence
Rfam family: Glycine riboswitch aptamer
About the family: This family represents the bacterial glycine riboswitch. Glycine riboswitches usually consist of two metabolite-binding aptamers domains with similar structures in tandem.
Source: RNAcentral
AUGACGGUGGAAGGAGAGACUGUCCUUGAGACAGCGCCGAAGGAGCAAGCCCCGGGAGGGGCGAAUCUCUCAGGCAAAAGAACUUCCAUCCGACA